This 475-nucleotide long non-coding RNA is filed under the name Sus scrofa (pig). Its description in RNAcentral is "lncRNA (ENSSSCG00070004819.1)". Lineage: Eukaryota; Metazoa; Chordata; Mammalia; Artiodactyla; Suidae. The record is from RNAcentral.
CCAAAGAGGGCGAAACCCAGUCUUUGCCUGGAAAAGAACUGCAGAAACCUGGAAGUACCCUGUCAGCGCACACGCCGUGGCAGCCCCUGACUGGCUGUGACCACCCAUCCCGACAUCCGGACUCUGUCUCUGCCUCUCGCGAGAUCUCGAAUGUGCGUUCGUACUUCUCGCGGGAUCUCAGGCAUCAGGAUUGAAGAUUAAAUGAUGCCCGCCCUAAUCCUGAGCGCCAGGGACCUGAGAUGCUGGGUCUGCGGUUGUAACUUGCUCAAGCUUGAUGCUAUCGACAGAGAAACAAGUGAAGCAGGUCAUAUCAGAAUUUGAAUUGCAGAAACAACUGGAGAUAAGAGGCAGGGCCCCAAAAAGAUCCUGUAGAAGGUCCCAAAACGGAACCGACCCACCCCUCAGGGAGCCAGGGCUGGAGAGGAGCUAUCACAACACCCAGAAGAUCAGCGAGGAGGCUCCUGUGGUUAUCAUC